Molecule: ribosomal RNA, 719 nt
Filed under: Triticum aestivum (bread wheat)
Lineage: Eukaryota; Viridiplantae; Streptophyta; Magnoliopsida; Poales; Poaceae
Description: partial small subunit ribosomal RNA
Source: RNAcentral
AUUUUGGUAAAACCCUAAACCUCGCCAUUUCUAGUUCCCCACCACGCCACCACCGCCGUCCCCACCUUCUCCGACGAAACCCUAGCGAUGGCGUUCCGCGGCGCAGCCUCCCGCUCCUUCCUCGCCGCCGUCCGCGGUCGCACCGCCUCCACUGCCCCGCGCGUACGCGCGGCCCCCAUUCCCGCGGCCCCUCCCCGUCGCAUCCCUGCCUCAGCGCCCUCCUCCCCUCUCGCCGCCGCAAGGCCAUUGGCGGCGUUGAUGGGGUCGCCGGUGUUGGUUGCCGCAAGGCUGACGGGGCACUGCGCGGCGAGCGCGCGGGCGUGCUGUGAGCUCUCCCAGGGUACUUAAAGGACGAGUUGCUGCCCUUCGCAAGGAUACAACAGUUCUUUUGGGUGCAUCUCUUUGGAAGCUCUUCUGAGUUCAGUUCGUUUUCCUGGAUUCUGCAAAGUUACAAGAAACUCCCCACUCCCAGUGCUAGCUUUUGUCUCCUAGACAAACGGACAUUCUACUUGAUAUUUAUAUAUGAUGAAUAACGUCCUUUUGAUCAGCACAUGUUUCAUUGGAUGGUUCUUGUUUGUGAUGCGUGUUGAAAUCUUUAAUUCAUAAUCGGUAUCAUGCUGUUUCUCCAUGAGUUAACACUCGUAGCGAAUUUGUAACUGGGAGUUCAAUGAAAUCAAAGAAAACCCACAUGUGAUCUGUGAGUAUUAUCGUUGAUGGCC